RNAcentral lists this transfer RNA (70 nucleotides) under Sphyraena japonica (Japanese barracuda). RNAcentral's name for it is "tRNA-Trp". It matches the Rfam family "tRNA". From Rfam's summary of the family: Transfer RNA (tRNA) molecules are approximately 80 nucleotides in length. Their secondary structure includes four short double-helical elements and three loops (D, anti-codon, and T loops). Lineage: Eukaryota; Metazoa; Chordata; Actinopteri; Sphyraenidae. The record is from RNAcentral.
AAGAAUUUAGGUUUAAGAAGACCAAAAGCCUUCAAAGCUUUUAGCGGAGGUUAAAACCCUUCAAUUCUUG